RNAcentral lists this transfer RNA (72 nucleotides) under Planctomycetota bacterium. Its description in RNAcentral is "Planctomycetes bacterium tRNA-Ala". It matches the Rfam family "tRNA". Rfam says of the family: Transfer RNA (tRNA) molecules are approximately 80 nucleotides in length. Their secondary structure includes four short double-helical elements and three loops (D, anti-codon, and T loops). Lineage: Bacteria; Pseudomonadati; Planctomycetota. The record is from RNAcentral.
GGGGGCGUAGCUCAGAGGGAGAGCGGCUGCUUUGCACGCAGCAGGUCGGCGGUUCGAAUCCGCCCGCCUCCA